RNAcentral lists this ribosomal RNA (468 nucleotides) under uncultured bacterium. RNAcentral describes it as "partial 16S ribosomal RNA". It matches the Rfam family "Bacterial small subunit ribosomal RNA", at positions 28 to 507 of the family's 1533-position model. The record is from RNAcentral.
GACGAACGCUGGCGGCGUGCUUAACACAUGCAAGUCGAACGGCAGCGCCCUGCUUUUGUGGGGUGCUCGAGUGGCGAACGGGUGCGUAACACGUGAGUAACCUGCCCUUGACUUUGGGGUAACUUAAGGAAACUGGGGCUAAUACCGGACAGGAGCCCCCGCUCCGUGGAGGGGGUGGGAAAGUCUGGGCGGUUGCGGAUGGACUCGCGGCUUAUCAGCUUGCUGGUCGGGGAGUGGUUUACCAAGUCUUUGGCCGGUCGCCGGCCUGGGAGGGUGGCCGGCGACAAUGCGCCUACGAGAGGGCCCAGUCGCCUACAGUAGGCAGCGGUGGGGAAUAUUACACAAUGAGCGGGAGCCGGUUGCGGCGACGCCGCGUGCGUAAAGCCGGCCUGCGGGUUAUGAACCGCUGUCGGCUGAGACGAAGCGUGUGUGACGGUAAUGAGUAAAGAAGCACCGGCUAACUACGUG